UACGGAGGGUGCGAGCGUUAAUCGGAAUUACUGGGCGUAAAGCGCGCGUAGGUGGUUUCGUAAGUCGGAUGUGAAAGCCCAGGGCUUAACCUUGGAAUUGCAUUCGAUACUGCAGAACUAGAGUAUGGUAGAGGGAAGUGGAAUUUCCGGUGUAGCGGUGAAAUGCGUAGAUAUCGGAAGGAACACCAGUGGCGAAGGCGACUUCCUGGACCAAUACUGACACUGAGGUGCGAAAGCGUGGGGAGCAAACAGG
RNAcentral lists this ribosomal RNA (253 nucleotides) under uncultured bacterium. Its description in RNAcentral is "partial 16S ribosomal RNA". It matches the Rfam family "Bacterial small subunit ribosomal RNA", at positions 524 to 776 of the family's 1533-position model. The record is from RNAcentral.